AACCAAAAAAACCAAACCCCACCCAUUUCACCCUUGUGGCCUGGAAUGUGCAGUUGGCUAAUGGAUGCUUCCAGUGCAAACCGAAGGAGCCAAUGUCAGCAGGAGAUCUGAAGACACAGCAAGCAUGGUGCAUGUGUGAUCCCAGUACCGGCAAUGUGGAUGCAGGAGGUCAGUUCGCUUGGGCUAAACUUGAAGUUCCAACCCCACCCAAAAUAUGAUGGAACACUAACCCAAGCUGAUCUCUGAUCUCUGCACACACACACCCCAAAUGAAUGUCCACUUCAUCAUAUCCAUCAAAAGUUCAUACCUUUACUUACUGUUUUCUUCAAUUAGAAAACUACGACCCAAAUUCUCAAGGAGACUUUUUUUUACUAUUUAAGGAAAAACUGGAUGGAAGAGAUCUUGGCAGGACAUGAAAUAAUUCUUUUGGCAAUUCUUUAGUGGCUUGAAAGUCAGAAUGGAAUUAAAACUAAGAAGUAAAGGUCAAAGCGAAACUUUAAACUAAAAUUACUAGGGUAAAACUGCCAGGAAGAUUCCUUCUUUAGAAAGCAGCCUCCAACUCUCCCCGCUGCCUUACUGUUUGUGCGUUUUGAACGUACAGUGGUGGUACUGCAGCCAACACUGGGAAGACAGAGGACCCAAGAACACGGCCUGUGUCACACAGCAACUUGGAUUCAGAAGAUUGGUGUCACAAAGGUCUGUAUAGUUUACAAGGUUGAAAUUUUUUAGCCUUUCGUUACCAAGCACGUAAAAGAAAUUGCUACUAGUUUAAAUUCUUGGUAUAUAUCAUACAGUGAGCUGGAUACUGUGUAUAUUAUUUAUAAAAUGACUUUGGUAAACCUAAGUAUUAUGAUGUGAUAAUCUUGCCAACUUGCCUGGACUAAGAAAUGCCUAGAAGAGAGUAAGUGUACUGCUUGGUGUGUCUGUGACACUUCCAGCGAUGAGAGAAUUACACCAUGGGUGGGCUCAUAUGCUGGCAUUACUGAGAGGUGGGAAGGACAGCAGUAGGGCCAGGCUGGAGGAAGCGAGUCCCUUGGGCUGUGUCUUGCCUAACCUCUUUCUUUACCCUCUUUUCCUGCUUCCUGGCUCAUCACAUGAACUACUUUGUUCUAUUGUACAACCCCUGAGAUAAUGGACCAACACCUCUGAAACUGCAAGACAAAAACCAUCUUCGUUCUUUGAGUGUCUCUGUGUUUUGUCACAAAAUAAGGUGUCUGCUAACACGUACCAGGUCUGUCUUUGGAGGAUCUGUACACUCAGCAGAGAAGUAAGGCGCUGAGCUUCGCACUACACUGCUCUCCGAGGCUGGCUUUGGAGGCUGAGCAUGCUGUCUGUAUGUAGCACUUUUAGGAGUCCAGCAAAACAGAUUGACCGACUCACCCUUCAAAUCAGUUUGACACAUCUGCCAUCCAGAAAAGCUUCAAUCAAGUCAGCGAUCCGUAUCAGCAGCACUGUUCCAUCCCGCCACUGGCAAAGGAAAAUGCCAGUCUCCAUCUGAUUCCCGAGCUCUGCAGCUUGGUGUGGUGUGCGGUGAACCCUGAAAGGCUGCAGAGGCCCCACCCAAUUCGACAAUGGCUGUCCCUUUCUCCAUUCAUCUAACCUGUCCGUCUCCCAAUCUUCCCAUAAUUAAAGCAUAAUGCAAUUGUAUCUUAUAA
This is a long non-coding RNA of Mus musculus (house mouse), 1655 nucleotides long. RefSeq annotates it as predicted gene, 30294. NCBI's taxonomy places the organism in Eukaryota, Metazoa, Chordata, Mammalia, Rodentia, Muridae. The transcript is spliced from 3 exons. The record is from RefSeq and is a predicted model, not a curated record.